CCCUGGAGUUAUGCUUUCUGACACGGAAAUGCAGAGCAGCCCCCGUGGUUUUGAGUGUGGCACAAAGCAAGAAGGGGUUUUCUGGUCGCUGAGAGUUGUGUGCCUCAUCAAGGAGUUGCUUUGCUGGAUGAACAACCAGGCAAUUGCAAAAUCAAGAAUGAGGAUGAUCAGAGAAGAGUUUGUAUGAAUUUGAUGGCAAGUAGGAGUGGAUGGUGUUACCUGCAUCUGGGGGGACCAUAGAGAAUGCUGUAUACCAUAGAAAACCCACUACAUUGCCGGCCCUAAGAGAAGAAAUUGAAAAUUCAUGCGCAGCAACUUCAGUGACCAAGGUUACCCAAGCAGUAGUUCACUGUACUAAUAAAAGUCUGGAAGAUAAUGGCCACUACUUUGAGGACCUCUUAUAAUUGUACAGGCCAAAGAGAACACUCCUUUCUGCUCUUCCAUCACCACCCCUCAGUCACAUGGCACUGUGCCUGUUGCUCUUUGAGGUAGCCUUUCCACUUGGACACCUUCAUGAAGAUGCAUAGAUCUGAGAUUAAUAGAUGGUGUGAGUUCCCUGUCCAUUCCCCUUAGCCCACCCUGGAUGCCAGGGACUAAGUUCUCUCAUACACCAACUGCUUCCUGGUGUGUUGCCCAAGGGUGCUCUUUGGCCAUGGUGGUUGGGAUCAUCUGGAAGGGCCUUGAAAUUUACAGCCUAGAGCAACUCUCAGUCAGCUGGGCAUGGUAUUUAGUGCACUACUGUGCCCUGCCUGCUGAAGCGUGGUUCUGGCUCUAAGACUGUCCAGCU
Heterocephalus glaber (naked mole-rat) is the source of this 787-nucleotide long non-coding RNA. The record is from Ensembl. NCBI's taxonomy places the organism in Eukaryota, Metazoa, Chordata, Mammalia, Rodentia, Bathyergidae.